RNAcentral lists this unclassified non-coding RNA (319 nucleotides) under uncultured fungus. RNAcentral's name for it is "partial contains 5.8S ribosomal RNA, internal transcribed spacer 2, and large subunit ribosomal RNA". Lineage: Eukaryota; Fungi. The record is from RNAcentral.
AACGCACAUUGCGCUCCCUGGUAUUCCGGGGAGCAUGUCUGUUUGAGAGGCGUGUUAAAUCAUUCCCUGGUCUUUUGACCAGAGAGAUCUGGCUGCUUUCCUGCGCUCUUGCCGGGAAUCGGCUGAAAUAAAACAGUCGGGGAUGUAUACCCAGGCACUACGUGACCAGUGUGGGUUUCCGCAUAAGCGUACAUGUCUGGGCAUCAAAGUCGCUGACCGCAUCUGGUGUGAGAAACCUUCUAGGCGAAACACCCGGAACCGUGGAUUACCACGCUCCUACUUUGCCCUCAAAUCAGUCAAGACCACCUGCUGAACUUAA